RNAcentral lists this small nucleolar RNA (98 nucleotides) under Gorilla gorilla gorilla (western lowland gorilla). RNAcentral's name for it is "Small nucleolar RNA U3". It matches the Rfam family "Small nucleolar RNA U3", at positions 1 to 108 of the family's 219-position model. From Rfam's summary of the family: Small nucleolar RNAs (snoRNAs) are involved in the processing and modification of rRNA in the nucleolus. There are two main classes of snoRNAs: the box C/D class, and the box H/ACA class. Lineage: Eukaryota; Metazoa; Chordata; Mammalia; Primates; Hominidae. The record is from Rfam by way of RNAcentral.
AAGACUAUACUUUCAGGGAUCAUUUCUAUAGUUUGUGAUAAUAGAAUUGCUUUAGAUUACUUAAUGGCUGAAUAGAGAAAUAUCUGUGCAGUUGCUGA